CUACGGGACGCAGCAGUGAGGAAUAUUGGACAAUGGUCGAAAGACUGAUCCAGCCAUGCCGCGUGCAGGAUGACUGCCCUAUGGGUUGUAAACUGCUUUUAUACGGGAAGAAGAACACCUACGUGUAGGUGACUGACGGUACCGUAAGAAUAAGGACCGGCUAACUCCGGGCCAGCAGCCGCGGUAAUACGGAGGGUCCAAGCGUUAUCCGGAAUCAUUGGGUUUAAAGGGUCCGUAGGCGGGCUAUUAAGUCAGAGGUGAAAGUUUGCAGCUCAACUGUAAAAUUGCCUUUGAUACUGAUAGUCUUGAAUUGUAGUGAAGUGGUUAGAAUAUGUGGUGUAGCGGUGAAAUGCAUAGAUAUCACAUAGAAUACCGAUUGCGAAGGCAGAUCACUAACUAUAUAUUGACGCUGAGGGACGAAAGCGUGGGGAGCGAACGGGAUUAGAUACCCCAGUAGUC
RNAcentral lists this ribosomal RNA (459 nucleotides) under uncultured bacterium. RNAcentral's name for it is "partial 16S ribosomal RNA". It matches the Rfam family "Bacterial small subunit ribosomal RNA", at positions 339 to 795 of the family's 1533-position model. The record is from RNAcentral.